RNAcentral lists this ribosomal RNA (301 nucleotides) under uncultured bacterium. RNAcentral's name for it is "partial 16S ribosomal RNA". It matches the Rfam family "Bacterial small subunit ribosomal RNA", at positions 509 to 809 of the family's 1533-position model. The record is from RNAcentral.
CAGUCGCCGCGGUAAUACGUAGGUGGCAAGCGUUGUCCGGAAUUAUUGGGCGUAAAGGGCUCGCAGGCGGUUUCUUAAGUCUGAUGUGAAAGCCCCCGGCUCAACCGGGGAGGGUCAUUGGAAACUGGGAAACUUGAGUGCAGAAGAGGAGAGUGGAAUUCCACGUGUAGCGGUGAAAUACGUAGAGAUGUGGAGGAACACCAGUGGCGGAGGCGACUCUCUGGUCUGUAACUGACGCUGAGGAGCGAAAGCGUGGGGAGCGAACAGGAUUAGAUACCCCCGUAGUCCCUGUCUCUUAUAA